Molecule: long non-coding RNA, 833 nt
Organism: Hevea brasiliensis (rubber tree)
Lineage: Eukaryota; Viridiplantae; Streptophyta; Magnoliopsida; Malpighiales; Euphorbiaceae
Exons: 2
Source: RefSeq, a predicted model, not a curated record
CAUGAUAUAGGAUAUAUGAAAAUGAUACUAUUGCUUUUGAUAUAUGGUCUUGUGUGGCUCAAUUAUCUUAAAGAAUGAAAUGUUUUUUACCUACUGGAUGAAGUCCUUUAUCUAUUCAUCGUUAUUAAUGGUGCAGGAAACCCUCAGUUUUUAUUUCCUGUGCACUCUCUCUACUGCUUGCAAUAGUUCUGCUAGCUCUGGUCUCUGCUCGCAGAACAGAUUCAGAAUGUGAGGAUGAUUAUGAGCAUAUUAGAGGUAGAACUUGGGAGCCACUCCUAAAUCAAUCAGGUCAAACAUCUGGCGCAGGGAAUCAAUCAGACGUCUGGAGCUCGCGGAUGAGAGAGAAAGCACUUUCAUUUUAGGCCAUAUAUCAUUCUCUGGUUCAGAAUCGGCCUGGACUGUCCUUCAAAAGGGCUGGUUAAGGUUUGCCCUUUUGGUUAAUCGGUUGUCCAGUUCACAAUUUGAACUGGUUGAAAAAAUGGAAAAUUGUUGGGCCCAGAAACUAGGCAGGAAACAUGAGAGGGAGGUGUGCCAACUAAUUUGAAAGAUCUUUGGUAUGCAUGCUGAAGUGCCAAGCGAGUUUGAGGACCAAUUUUGCACUGGGUUUUAUGAACUGUCUAUAUAAAGAGCAAUUAUAACUACGUUUUGUGAACUGUCCUCAUAAAUACCGACUCUGGGAGGUUCUGUUUCAUGGAUGGUGCUUAUUUCAUCCAUAGACAUAAUGGGUAGAGGUAUUUUUAUGGGUUUGUUUGAUUCUCUUUGGAUUUGUGACUUGCCACUCUUCCAGACCACCUGCUCUCAUUUCUAUAUGCACCAAAAAUGUUUUUCUCUAA